CGGGACUGACGGGGCUCGAACCCGCAGCUC
This 30-nucleotide transfer RNA is filed under the name Scyphostegia borneensis. Its description in RNAcentral is "partial tRNA-Asp". The record is from RNAcentral. Lineage: Eukaryota; Viridiplantae; Streptophyta; Magnoliopsida; Malpighiales; Salicaceae.